This 408-nucleotide ribosomal RNA is filed under the name uncultured bacterium. RNAcentral describes it as "partial 16S ribosomal RNA". It matches the Rfam family "Bacterial small subunit ribosomal RNA", at positions 28 to 526 of the family's 1533-position model. The record is from RNAcentral.
GACGAACGCUGGCGGCGUGCUUAACACAUGCAAGUCGCACGGAGUGGCGAACGGGUGAGUAACACGUGGGUGAUCUGCCUUGCACUUCGGGAUAAGCUUGGGAAACUUGGUCUAAUACCGGAUAGUGCAAGAUGAGCUCGCGGCCUAUCAGCUUGUUGGUGGGGUAAUGGCCUACCAAGGCGUCGACGGGUGGCCGGCCUGAGAGGGUGUACGGCCACAUGGUGACGGCGGUACGGCCCAGCCUCCUACGGGAGGCAGCAGGAGGGAAUAUUGCACAAUGGGCGGAAGCCUGAUGCAGCGACGCCGCGUGGGGGAUGAAGGCCUUCGGGUUGUAAACUCCGUUCGACAGGGACGCGGUACCUGUAUAAGAAGCAACGGCUAACUACGUGCCAGCCGCCGCGGUAAUAC